GAUGAACGCUGGCGGCGUGCCUAACACAUGCAAGUCGAGCGAUUCUCUUCGGAGAAGAGCGGCGGACGGGUGAGUAACGCGUGGGUAACCUGCCCUGUACACACGGAUAACAUACCGAAAGGUAUGCUAAUACGAGAUAAUAUGCUUUUAUCGCAUGGUAGAAGUAUCAAAGCUUUUGCGGUACAGGAUGGACCCGCGUCUGAUUAGCUAGUUGGUAAGGUAACGGCUUACCAAGGCGACGAUCAGUAGCCGACCUGAGAGGGUGAUCGGCCACAUUGGAACUGGGACACGGUCCCAACCCCUACGGGAGGCGGCAGUGGGGAAAAUUGCAAAAUGGGCGAAAGGCUGAUGCAGCAACGCCGCGUGAAAGAUGAAGGCCUUCGGGUCGUAAAGCUCUGUCCUCAAGGAAGAUAAUGACGGUACUUGAGGAGGAAGCCCCGGCUAACUACGUGCCAGCCGCCGCCGUAA
This 468-nucleotide ribosomal RNA is filed under the name uncultured bacterium. RNAcentral describes it as "partial 16S ribosomal RNA". It matches the Rfam family "Bacterial small subunit ribosomal RNA", at positions 28 to 523 of the family's 1533-position model. The record is from RNAcentral.